ACUGAGUGGCCUAGUUACAGUUUUGACUUACUUAAAAAUCUAUGGCAAGACUUGAAAAUGGCAGUCUAGCAAUGAUUAACAACUAAAUUGACAACGCAUGAAGAAUUUUUGGAAGAAUAAUGGAAAAAUAUUGUACAAUCCAGACGUGCAAAGCUUUACCAAUUUACCCAGAAAGACUCACUGCUUUAAUUGCUGCCAAAGGUGAUUGUAACAUGUUGUUGAAUACUCAGGAUGUUGAAUACUUAUCUAGUCAAGAUACAUUAGUGUUUAAUUUUCCAUAAAUUUAUUUGAGUAUUUUGUAUAGAUUGUUUACAACAACAAAAAAGGCAAUUCAAUCCCACUUUGUAACACAACAAAAUGUGGUAAAAGUCAGGGGGGUGUGAAUACUUUCUGAAGGUACUGUACUGUAUAAUUAGAAGGUACUGUACUGUAUAAUUAGAAGGUACUGUACUGUAUAAUUAGAAGGUACUGUAGAGUAUAAUUAGAAGGUACUGUAGAUAGAAGGCACUGUGGAUAGAAGGCACUGUACUGUAGAUAGAAGGUACUGUAGAUAGAAGGUACUGUAGAUAGAAGGCACUGUGGAUAGAAGGUACUGUACUGUAAUUAGAAGGUACUGUAGAUAGAAGGCACUGUAGAUAGAAGGUACUGUAGAUAGAAGGUACUGUGGAUAGAAGGCACUGUACUGUAGAUAGAAGGUACUGUAGAUAGAAGGCACUGUACUGUAGAUAGAAGGUACUGUAGAUAGAAGGCACUG
Molecule: long non-coding RNA, 754 nt
Organism: Oncorhynchus tshawytscha (Chinook salmon)
Lineage: Eukaryota; Metazoa; Chordata; Actinopteri; Salmoniformes; Salmonidae
Exons: 4
Source: RefSeq, a predicted model, not a curated record